This 66-nucleotide transfer RNA is filed under the name Thesaurus zaitsevi. RNAcentral's name for it is "tRNA-Pro". The record is from RNAcentral. Lineage: Eukaryota; Metazoa; Arthropoda; Insecta; Coleoptera; Cucujidae.
CAGAGAUUAGUUUAAAAAAAAUUUUAAUUUUGGAGAUUAAAGAUGAGAGGAUUUUCUUAUCUCUGA